Molecule: non-coding RNA, 3535 nt
Organism: Cherax quadricarinatus
Lineage: Eukaryota; Metazoa; Arthropoda; Malacostraca; Decapoda; Parastacidae
Source: RefSeq, a predicted model, not a curated record
AACCAUAAUUUUUAAAGGGGUGGCCUCGGUCAGAUGACCAAAAGUUCCAGCUGCGGGUCAUCUAGACCCGCGCCAGGAAACAGUUGUCCUGUUACCAGACAAACCUUACGUCUUGUAGUAUGGCGGAGUGUUGAAGGUAGUGUGUUGUGGCAUGGAGUGACUUGAAGAGUGUUUCUUCAGAUUCCCUGGGGUUACACCGCGUGGAGAACACUUCACACAGUGAGGGUGCCAUCUCCCUACAUCUCUACUGCCCACCAUUCAACAGCUGCUACAAGUUUGACGAACGUACUGGCAAGAGGAUAAAAUGUCCCGUCACCUUCUGGACCAAACAUGGGCGGAAAACAGAACAGAAAAACUCAAAUGUCUGUUGCUAAGAGGACAGAAGAUGCAAGAAACAACUUAUCCACAGUAGUUGUCUAACCAUUAUUCUCCUUGACAAACUACUCUUCUAUAAUUGCCGUUAAAGAUGGCCCAUAUGUAUUGAAAAUUAUUAAUAGGUAAAGAUGCCUCAUAGUCUUGUACAUAACUGUAUCUUUCAAACAGCUUUAGUGUGGACAUAAUCUUUAACUUGUUUGACUGAGAAAGAUAGUUUAUUUUAAAAUAAAGAUUAGGCAACUUUUAAAUCAUUAAGGAUUAUAAUGUGUAAUUGUACAGGUGUCCGAAACAAAACUGCCAAUUAAUUUUACUAUACCAGCUGUUUCACGCAAGUAUCUGAUUUGUGAUGACGGUAGUAGUAGUAGUAUUUAUAAAACUGUUUAUAAUCAUAACCAUAAUUUUUAAAGAGGUGGGCCGGUGAGCCAGCGGAAGGCCUCUGUCAGAUGACCAAAAGCUCCAGCUUCGGGUCAUCAUAUGACUGAGACCCGCGUCAGGAAAUACUUGUCCUGUUUCCUGACGAACCUUACCUAAUCUAAUCUUUAGUAACAUAAUUAGUGUUAAUACAUUCGUAGGGAAGACCUCAUCCCGUAAAGGCCAUAAUGUGCCCGGGGGAAGGGAAGAAAUCAGGUUAGAUUCAAAUGGAGGAAAGCUUUAAUUCCUUGGAUCAAGUGCCUUUCACCAACACAUUGCAAUGCGCUUGAAGGGUCUUUAGCAGCAUACAUUUACUGGUCAAAGGAAACGUUAUCAUUAGUUCAAAUAACCCACACUUUAAAGACGAAGCUCUAGACAACGUUUCGGUCCUUCCUAGGUUAGGUUUGGUAUGGUUUGUCAGAAAGCAGGACAAUUGUUUCCUGACGCGGGUCUUAUAUGAUAACCCGCCACUGGAGCUCUUGGUCACAUGCCCGAGUCAACCCCUUUCAAAAUUUAGGCUUCCGUCCUAGACCAUUAACAAGGCACAACUGUUGAAGCUUGAUAAUUGUCCAGAAUGGACCGAAAAGUCCUUCGAAGUUUCUUCUCCGAGGUUCAAACUCCUUGUGAAUGGUUCCUUCCACUGUGACUUAUUCUUCACUAUUAUUAGUUACUCCAGGAUACUACUAUAUUUGACAGUCGUCUAGGCUAUCUUGCUCAUCAAAAACCUAGUAUAUUUUGAGUGAAUUUCAGUAUUUUUAUAUUUAAGCAUCCUGUACUUUCUUCCAAAUUUUUUAUUUAUAUUUCUUAUAUGUUUAAGAUUAAUAUCAAUAAUCAUAAAAGUCACACAAUACACAAAUGUUAUCAUAAGUGUUGAUAAUCAUUUGCAAAAUAAAAUGACGAUUAAUAAUGGUUCUAAGGUUAUAAACUUAUUCCUUCUAUAUAAUUAUUGAAUCCUUCAAGGUUUUAAUACUUUAUGACUGCUUGUUAAUGUGUGCCAGACACUGGUGAUGACACAUGUUGCAUAACAAGCUCAAUACUUGCUUAAUAAAGCUCGACACAGAGGGAAACGUUAUCCCCAUAAAAGCUUCUUUUGCAGUGUAUGUCUGCUUUGUUAUUGUAGUAAUGUUGGUAAAAUUACACACAAUAUGUUAGGUAAAAAGACACUAAGUGCAAAUAAUGUGACAUUUUAUUGUGGUAACGUUUCGCUCCUGGAGAGCGAAACGUUGCUGCAGUAAAAUGUCGCAUUUGUGUCCCUUUGCUUCGCUAUUGUCGCCAGAACGUCAUUAAGAUCGAGUGUAUAUGUAACAAUGUUCUGUAGCAUAAGUGAAAUUUAGUGUUGGACGAGAACAUGACAUCCAUUGACUUGAUUUUUAAAAAUACCAAAAUUUUGGUAACUGCAGAUUUUGCAUUCACUAUAAUCGGAUAUUAGCCAAAGUUUUCUUAGUCAUAAUAAAAACCUGGAGUAAAGAAAAGGUCAUCGUAUCUUAGGACAUUAAUACUUUGUGAACUUUUGCAUAUUUAAAUAGGGGUAAAAAGCCUAGCUGGGAGUAGGUCAGUGAAUGUUUAACUACUUAAGGCGGGGGUUCUUAACCUGGGGUAUCCAUACCUCUUGUGGGGUAUGGGAACCAUAUAAUGGGGGUAUGGGAACCAAAUAAUGGGGGUAUGGGAACUAAAUAUUGGGCGUAUGGGACUCAAAUAAUGGUGGGAUGGGAUUCAAAUAAUGGGGGUAUGGGCCUCAUUCUAUGAACAAUUUGCCUUUUCUAUAAAUGAUAAAAUACUUAUGAUUUUUCGGCUGUUCUGUUCUUAGCUUAUGUAAAGUCGUACGGGUACUUAAUAAGAUUGGUGGUGAGGAUGAUUUCGAAGAAUGCAUGGGAACAUACUGGGCAAUUCAUUAGGGGUCUGAAAUCGUAAAGGCUAAGAACCCCUGACUAAAGAAAGAAUAAUGAUUGACCUGUACAGUCAGGCUAUGGAUGAUGGCAACAAAAGUUGGCGAGAAUGCACACUUUAAUUUACAAUUGUUCUUAGGGUGGUUGCACCAGCAAUCUCGUCAUGGAUGUUGAUGUUUUCGACAAAUUUCCACCCAUUCCAAGCAAAAUUACAGAUGUUAACUUAUUUUUGGCAAAUUAUAUAACCUAUUUGUUAAUCGAAGUUUAUUCUAGUUUUAUAGUCCUCUGUGUAUUAAAUUUUAAGUCAGAUUUUAUUACCCUGUGUCUAUAUUUUUACUAUCUGUUGUCUGUUAUAUAUAGUAAUGUAUUUUUGUUAACAAUUAUAAAUAGUACAUGGAGUGGUUACUACAUAUUCUACAUGAUAUAUUAAAAGGUUAAAGCAAGGUAAAUCAGUUUUUUUUUGGUUACUGGGGAUAAAUAAUGCAGUAAGAUGUUGAUAAUCGCGUAAUAUUCUUUUCAUUUAAUUACGCAUUGCAUAAUUUUGUUUUAUAUAACAAAGUGGAAAGAGAACCUGGUAAGAAGAUAAAUCAGUUUCAUUUUUGAAUUGUAUUAAACAGAUUAAUAGUAUGACUUGUACAGAUAUAUAUAUAUAUAUAUAUAUAUAUAUAUAUAUAUAUAUAUAUAUAUAUAUAUAUAUAUAUAUAUAUAUAUAUAUAUAUAUAUAUAUAUAUAUAUAUAUAUUUAAUCUUUAUCAAGUUUUUAAAUUUGGAAAAUACAUGCUAUAGUAUAUGUUAAUUUUAUGUGAUUAGCAGUAAAAUGGUGAAGGGAGAUGGUAUUCUUAUAAUAAAUUGUUUAAAUUUAAA